AUCAACGCUGGCGGCGUGCCUCAGACAUGCAAGUCGAACGAUUAAGACUUCCUUCGGGAAGUGUAUAAAGUGGCGCACGGGUGAGUAACACGUAAGUAAUCUACCCUCGAGUGGGGAAUAACGUUCGGAAACGGACGCUAAUACCGCAUAACGCAGCGGCACCGCAAGGUGACAGUUGUUAAAGGAGUAAUUCGCUUGAGGAGGAGCUUGCGGCAGAUUAGCUAGUUGGUAAGGUAACGGCUUACCAAGGCUACGAUCUGUAUCCGGUCUAAGAGGACGGUCGGACACACUGACACUGAAUAACGGGUCAGACUCCUACGGGAGGCAGCAGUCGGGAAUUUUGGGCAAUGGGCGAAAGCCUGACCCAGCAACGCCGCGUGAAGGAUGAAGUAUUUCGGUAUGUAAACUUCGAAAGAAUGGGAAGAAUAAAUGACGGUACCAUUUAUAAGCUCCGGCUAACUACGU
This 465-nucleotide ribosomal RNA is filed under the name uncultured bacterium. Its description in RNAcentral is "bacterial SSU rRNA". It matches the Rfam family "Bacterial small subunit ribosomal RNA", at positions 32 to 506 of the family's 1533-position model. The record is from RNAcentral.